GACGUAGGGGGCGAGCGUUAUUCGGAAUCAUUGGGCGUAAAGAGUUCGUAGGUGGUUUGAAAAGUCGGUGAAGAAAGACCUGGGCUCAACUCAGGGAACGGCACCGAUACUUUUGAACUUGAGGCAAUCAGAGGGUAAUGGAAUUCCUGGUGUAGCGGUGAAAUGCGUAGAUAUCAGGAGGAACAUCAGUGGCGAAGGCGAUUACCUGGGGUUGAUCUGACACUGAGGAACGAAAGCGUGGGGAGCAAACAGG
Molecule: ribosomal RNA, 253 nt
Filed under: uncultured bacterium
Lineage: Bacteria
Description: partial 16S ribosomal RNA
Rfam family: Bacterial small subunit ribosomal RNA
Source: RNAcentral